UAUAUAUAUAUAUAUAUAUAUAUAUAUAUAUAUAUAUAUAUAUAUAUAUAUAUAUAUAUAUUCCCCAAAACAGUAGGAGUAGGGGGACCCAGGCCAAAAAUCACGUUCGCUCCAGCGAAUUCCUGUCACUUCUCCCGCGGUUGAGGAGAGCAAUCUGGUCAUUGCAGGGGUAAACCUGAGUGCAAAAGAAGUUUUUUUUUCCAGCCCUUAAACUGAGGAAAGACGACAGCCGGGUCCAAUCACCCCGACAGCUUUUACGAGUCUAAUCCGAAAGGGAAACUCGAAGGUGGGGGGAGAGAGAGGAAACUUUCCCCUCGAACACCAUAAAGGAAUCAGCUGAUAACUUGCAAAACUGUCGUCUCUUCAUAUUUCUUUUUUGUUUUAAAGUUUUAUUUAAAAAAAAAAAACUUAAUUCCUCUCCUCGGUUAGAAGGGGUUCCAGUUGGAUACACGAAGUUUUCGUUUAUCUUUCCUUUUUUUGUGGGAGAAAGUUGCGCUUCAAAGCGCUUGGAAGAAUAAAAAAAAGAAAAAAAGGAAAGCUGUUGAUGAAAUCUGUGAUUUUGCUUUCAUGCAAUAGCUAGCUGCUUAAUGUUGAAAGCUUUUAUUUUCUUUUUCUAUUCUCUUUUUCUUUCUCUCCAUUCCAAAGCGAUCGUAUGAGAGAAAUGGAAAAAAAGCGUUCCUGGUUAAUAAAAAUAUUUUAACUUUCAUAUUUCUACGGUUUCAGAGUACAAUCUUAUUUCAUCAUAUUCCACUAAUUACGUAUAAUAAAACAAUAGGAGAAUGAUUACCAAAGAUUCCGUAGCAUUUGCUAAAAAUAUUUUGAAUUUUACCAAAGACUGAUCCCAAUGAUGAUAGAAAAAAUAUUAAAAAAAAUUAUAUCUGCAAAGUUGCGACUUAUAUACUUUACGUAUUAUCAUGUCAACGAAAUCAUUGUGAAUUUGUCAAUUAAAGCGUAAGGAAAUAUAUCAUUAUAUAGUAGUCAUAAGAAUAAAAUACUUCCUUCUGACUCGAACUAAAACAACACCAAAAAUUAUUUUGUGUUUCACUAGUUUUAAACAGGUGAAUCAUCUGUCAAUUCUGUGAAUCUACUGUCAAUUAUGAUUUGAACAUGUGAAUCAGUUGUCAAUUCUAUUUUAUAUUCGGUUUCAGACAAGCGAAUCAGCUGUCAAUUCUGUUUUAAACAGGUGAAUCCAUUGUAAAUCCUGUAUUAACAAGUGAAUCCAUUGUCAAGUCUGUCAUAAACAAGUGAAUCCAUAGUCAAUUCUGUUUUAAGCAGGUGAAUCCAUGGUCAAUUAUGUUUUAAACAAGCGAAUCAGCUGUCAAUUCUGUUUUAAACAGGUGAAUCCAUCGUCAAUUCUAUUUUAAACAAUGAAUCCAUUGUCAAUUCUAUUUUAAACAAGUGAAUCCUUUGCCAAGUCUGUCAUAAACAAGUGAAUCCAUAGUCAAUUCUGUUUUAAGCAGGUGAAUCCAUGGUCAAUUAUGUUUUAGACAAGCGAAUCAGCUGUCAAUUCUGUUUUUAAAAAGUGAAUCCAUUGUCAAUUCUAUUUUAAACAGGUGAAUCCAUCGUCAAUUCUAUUUUAAACAAGUGAAUCCAUUGUCAAUUCUGUUUUAAAAAAGCUAAUCCAUUGUCAAUUCUGUUUUAAACAGGUGAAUCCAUCGUCAAUUCUAUUAUAAACAAGUGAAUCCAUUGUCAAUUCUGCUUUAAACAAGUGAAUCCAUUGUCAAUUCUGUUUUAAACAAGUGAAUCCAUUGUCAAUUCUGGUUUAAACAAGUGAAUCCAUUGUCAAUUCUAUUUUAAACAAGUGAAUCCAUUGUCAAUUCUGUUUCAUUAAACAGCGGAUUCUGUGAAUCCACUGUCAAUUCCGAUUUGAACAGGUGAAUCAGCGUUCAAUUCUGUUUUAAACCGGUGAAUCCAUUGUCAAUUUUGUAUUAAACAUGUGAAUCCAUUUCAAAUCUGUUUUGUUAAAACAGGUGAAUCAGCUGGUAAUUCCGUUUUAAACAAGUGAAUCCAUUGACAAUUCUGAUUUAAACAAGUGAAUCCACCGUCAAUUCUUUUUUAAACAAGUGAAUACAUUGUCAAUUCUGUUUUAAGCAGGUGAAUCAAUUGACAAUUCUGCUUUAAACAUGUGAAUCCAUUGUUAAUUCUGUUUUGUUAAACAGGCGAAUUAACAGUUAACUCUGUUUUAUUAAACAAGUGAAUUAAUAGUUAAUUCUGUUUUGUUAAACAGGUGAAUCAGCCUGUCAAUUCUAUUUUAAACAUGCAAAUCAACUGUCAACAUGUCAAUACUGUCUUAAACAGGUGAAUCAACUGUCAACUCUGUUCUACGUCGUUAAGGUUGUAUAAUAAAUAACCCUCUUAUAAGAUCAUCACCACCAUACCAUGAACCAUCAAGUUUUCACCAUCAUUCAUCGCAGUCACCAUACUGUAUGGUGUCGUCUGCCGUCAUCGCCAUCGCCCCAUGAAGAACUGUGACGUUUUCAUAACUGUAACCAUGCUGUAUGGAUGUGAUUAUCCCCUUUGUACAUAAGUGUACUAUAAACAUAAUCCAUGUCAAACAACCCCCCGCCCAACCCCCCACCCCCCAAAACCCCGUUAUUACUACUAUCGCAAAGUAUGUCGUCAAUAUGUCAAUUCAAGGUCCACAGUAUUGUAAAAACGGAACAUCCGAAAGGAACCUCUCUGUUUCUCCACUCUCUCUCUCUCCCUCUCUGUCUGUCUGUCUCUAUCUCAUUCUCUUUCUCUAUGGGUGACCUCUACGAUAUAUAUAAAAAAAAAGAGGAAAAGAGGAGAAUUUUGUGAAAUAUAUAAGAAAAUGCGGAGAAUUUUGUUUAAUAAACAGAGGAACUAGUACGCAAGAAAAUAAAAGAAAAUGAGGCUUUAUAAAAAGAAUGAAAUAUGUACUGUCAAUUUACUACCAAUCGUAUUUGCUAUCCGCACAAUAUAGUGAAAAAAAAAUACAGUGGAGGCCAUUUAUAAUAAUCAAUUCCCGCCUCCACCUUACUCUGGACAAAGGACAGAAUUUCCGAGAAACUCGGCGGAUAUUGAACUCACGAGCGAUAAUAAAACUUACCAAGUUCCGCAACAAAGCAAAUGCGAUUGGUCGAAAAAGUAAGAGAAAAAGGUAAGAAAAAGAGCCUUAUGAAAUGUUUCACGGAGGACUUUUGAAGUUCCUCCGAGCUAAUGUAUACAUGUGUAUGAGUACUACAUGUUAUUUGGGCAACCACUUGUUGUAGUGUGUCCUACAUUCAAGACAAUUUUCUCACGGUCGUUUUGAUUUUCUCUUUUCAAUCGUUUGUUCGGAUUUCCCCUCCAUCCCAUAACCUUCUGCCUUCUUCCACCCCCACCCACACUCCUCCCCGUUACCUACAAAACUUUCAUUUCCCCGCUAAAGAUUUUUUCUUGUGCAUAAUUUCCCCGAGGGGUACAGGCAGACCAAUGGAGGAGCACGUGCCAGCUUCAAAAACUUGGGAAGACGAAAAUAAUUCAUCAGGAUAUUUACCCUUCUCGAAAAUAUAUGCAUAAUUAAAAUCUGUUCUCUCUCUCUCUCUCUCUCUCUCUCUCUCUCUCUCUCUCUCUCUCUCAAGAAACCCCCUUCACCUCGUCCUCCCUCUCCCAUCUGAAAUGUGCCUAAGCUUCUUGCAAAUAAAAAAAAAAUGGAAAAAAAAGAGAACUUGUUCCUUAUCUCGAAUUUUCAAAUGACUUUUUCCUCUUCUUCAUCUCCCUCGUGAAGUGGUGAUGAGCGCUGAUAAAUUUGUGGUGUCUUGAUGUUAAAAGAGAAUAUGAGAUAAAGAUAGAACUUGAUGUUAGACGAGGGUCUGAGAAAAUGAAAGAACUUGAUAUGUUUAAAAAAAAAAAAGUCUGAGAAAGGUAUAUAAAACGUGACGAUAUGUUGAAAAGAGCCUGGGAAGGAGAUAGAACGUGAUGAUAUGUUAAAAUGUGUCACAGAAUAAAAAAAGAAAAGAAAAAAACUUUAUAUCAGAUAUGCAUAACUAGGAUUGCAAUGUGAACUCGGAGGCACGAACGAGGAUUUACAUAAUAUACAUAAGCAUACAUCCACGCAUUCAGAGUUGAAAAAUGUAUUUUAAACUACUAAGUUUGACGAUGAAAGCCCACAAUCGUAUUUACACUCUGGUGACAGACCUGUGAAUUAGAAUAUCAAGUAAUUAUGGAAGAAAGACGGAAGCAUUAACCACAAAUUGUACGUAAUAUUACUACCGUCUUUGGUCCGUGUGGUUUUGGGUAUAAAUAUACAUCGGUGAUUACUUCCACAAUGUUACUCUGAAUACUUAUAACCAGAAUUAAAUAAAUAUAUAAAAUCAAAUAAAGAAAUCCAGGCUCUUUCAUAAAAUCGAAGAAAUAUGACGCGUUGCACCAAAGAAAACGAAUUACCUAUGAAAAAUUCAUGACCAAGAAACAGACCUCACAAAGGUAUUUAAUGUCAUCUUUUGAUUAGUACAGAUUCAUGGAAACAGGAACCACAUUCAUACCAAUUUCACCGACGAGUGACCAUCACCUUUGAAUAAUACAAAUAUACUGAGGAAGUAUGAAAAAAAUACAUUACCAAGACCAAUUUCAUCAUGAAGAAUCUUUUCACCGACCAGUGACCAUCACCUUUGAAUAAUACAAAGAUACUAAGGAAGUGUGAAAAAAAUAUAUAUUAUCAAGCUUUCGAAAAAGUUAUUGAAAUGACGACAUAAGGCAAAUGUAUAACUGUUCUUUUUUUGUUUGACUUAUUUUACUUUUCCUUCCCAUUUCUCGCCUCCUUUUUUUCUUUUUUUAUCGUGUUCUCUUUUCCUCCCCCAAAUCGCCGUCGGCAAUCAGUAUUAUGCCAAUUGUAUUACUCAUUGAUGUUUCAAUCCAGAUAAACCAUGUGCCGAGAAUAGUGAUAAUGUUAUCAUCUAUAUCAAAUAUAAUACGUGUUCAUUACAA
Macrobrachium nipponense is the source of this 4929-nucleotide long non-coding RNA. RefSeq lists it as uncharacterized. The transcript is spliced from 2 exons. Lineage: Eukaryota; Metazoa; Arthropoda; Malacostraca; Decapoda; Palaemonidae. The record is from RefSeq and is a predicted model, not a curated record.